CAACCCUAGGAGAGGAUGCCAUUCACAUAGACUAUAAUUGAAUGGCGCCACUAGGGUUGUG
Molecule: non-coding RNA, 61 nt
Filed under: Dasypus novemcinctus (nine-banded armadillo)
Lineage: Eukaryota; Metazoa; Chordata; Mammalia; Cingulata; Dasypodidae
Also listed under: 1 other name
Gene: dno-mir-652
Source: miRBase by way of RNAcentral